Long non-coding RNA from Toxorhynchites rutilus septentrionalis, 692 nucleotides. RefSeq lists it as uncharacterized. NCBI's taxonomy places the organism in Eukaryota, Metazoa, Arthropoda, Insecta, Diptera, Culicidae. The record is from RefSeq and is a predicted model, not a curated record. The transcript is spliced from 3 exons.
UGUAAACAAACCGUUGCAUAUUUUCUCUGUAAUUAAUAUACUGAUUUCUCGAAAACUUGUACCGUGUUUAUCUUACAAUUAGUGGAAAUUGUUGAAAAAUAGUUUUUCUUAGCUGUUUCGAUGCUCCGAACCAAAAUUUAUUGUCAUUUAGUAGUGAAAAAAAACCGCUGAAGUACACCCUCUGUCAAUCUACCUGUGAGAGAGGUAAACCGAAUUAAUGAAAUUUGAUAUAAAAAUAUCCUGCGAGAGAGAGCGUGUGAAAUAUGGACGUCAAAAGCGGCGCAAAUUGCCCGGAGAACAUGCAAGUCGGACGAAAUUUGCUUGAAGCUGACUCCGAAAAAUCUGCAAAUUCAAAAGCCGUUUUGUUUGUGUCGUCCCCGGAUGUAAGCAGAAAUAUCGCCCCGGAAUUUCUUUUCAUGCCUUCCUUCCGAAAACGGACAAAUCGCGGUAUCUAGACUGGAUCCAACGACUACGGCUAAAGAUAGAACCUACAAAAACCUCCCGUAUUUGUAGCCUCCAUUUCACCGUGUCGAACUUCUACUCUCCAACAACAAGCCGUGCCACUGAUCGCUUAAUUCUUAGGCCAUCAGCAGUUCCCGACUUGAAUUUGCCACAACCUCCCAUCAGCGAAGCCAGGAAAAGACUUAUUGAGGGCCGUGCUUUUGAAAAAGUGUAAAACAGUCCAACUUGGU